Molecule: long non-coding RNA, 233 nt
Filed under: Linum usitatissimum (flax)
Lineage: Eukaryota; Viridiplantae; Streptophyta; Magnoliopsida; Malpighiales; Linaceae
Description: long non-coding RNA (LUSI_LNC005885)
Source: RNAcentral
GUGGGGCUAAGCUGUGGAAGAAGAGAGUUAAUCAGUCUCCUUUUUGGUGCUCUUGCAAAAGAUAGGUAAAAAGGUUGUUUAUUAGUGAGAUUAUAGAAUCUCAGAAUGAAAUCGCUUGGCUUGACUUGAAAUUUUUUCUACUUCGCUUUCCCAUAACUUCACUAAAGAUUUGGCCGUAGAAGGAUCGAAUUGUAUCCGAGGAACAUGGGAAUACAAAAAAGUAAGAAGAGAGG